ACAGUAUAAUUCACAUUUUCAAAAGUUGUACAAAACAGUAAGAAUGAGAACACAUCAUUUUUAAUUAUAAUUAUUACUAAGAAAGUACAUUUUAAUUGGUAAAUAUGGUUUUGUGGAGGUGAGUUAAUCUGUGCUUAAAGUGCUUGCUGUUCUUGCACAAAGAUGUUAGUUUUGAAAAGCCAAACACAGGGCCUCCAGUUGAAGAUAAGAGACAGGAAAAUAUCUAACGUAUCAUAGAGCAGCUAGUAAAGUGCACACAGAAGGGGGUGGGGAGAACCCUAUCCCAAAAAGGGUAGGAAACUGCAAGUAAUGUUAUUCUACUCUAGCAUCCAAACUCACUGUAGAAUACAUAACACAUGCACACACACACACACACACACACACGCACACACAUGAGAGAGAGAGAGAGAGAGAGAGAGAGAGAUUACUAAUGAUUUUGAAGACCUGUUGGAAAGUUGAUAAGGAUAAUGAAUCAUUAAUUCACUCAAGUUAUGCAUCAGUAACCUCAUUCAUUCAAUUCUCUUCCAAAAGUAAUGAUCUAAUUGUAACCUGAAGCUAAAGAAACCUGAGCCAGUAAUCCUGAAUGAGAAAAGCCACUGUCUGAAUACAAAAUGGUUUUCACAUUGAUUUAUUUAAUUUUGCAUACAAAGGAUGGUCACAAAAUUAAAGUAAUUAAUUUUCAUAUCUAAGAUGAUUCAGCACUGAAGAACACUGGCUGCUCUUGCAGAGAACCUGGAUUUUUCCCUUCUCUCCAUAUAUAAGAAGCAAUACAAUAAAAUUUUUAUUAUACUAACACUUCUAUGUGAAUUAGACUCCUCACAAAAAAAAAAAUUAUACAGGAGUUUAUAUUCGCAAUUAUACCCAAACAUUCAACCAUAUCCUCAAAUAUAAAAGUUGUAAAUGAGCAUAGCUAGGCAUUUGAAAUUCAGUAUAUGAUUAAGGAUGGAGAAGUUUUCCUUCCUAUAUAAAUAUGCUACAGUAACUCACUUCCUUUUUAGCAACUGAAACUUAAUUUGACUUAUUUUUAUUAUCUGCAAUACUUUGACAUAACAUUCUAGAGCACACAUGUAUUUCAUCAUUGACCAUUUACAUCUUAACCUAACAUAUUUUUUCUUCUUUAAUAUUUGCAGUAGCUGCCUUCUUCCCAGACUUUCUAGAGUUUUCUAGUUUCGCGUUUAGACUUAGGGCCUACACUGUCCAUCUCCUGGACCUUUCUUAACCUGCAUGGGUCUCUACUGCUCUUUUUAAUUUUCCUCUCUUUCCUCCCUUGCUUCAGUCCUUGUUUGUAUAGUUAUUUCAUUUGGAUGAGAAUGCCCUUUUGCCUAUGCCCUAUUAAAUGCCUUCUUUCUGUUCAUUUCCUACUUACAUGUUGUUGCUUCUAUAAUACAUUCUCUUUGCUUACCUGUACUGUUCUAGAACAUAACACCCUACUAUAUCUUCUUGAAUUCCAUCUAGCUUUCAUGUCAUAUUUUCUCCUUUCCUGAAAAAGUAUGUUCGCCAUCAUCCUAACAGACAUUGUUGUUGUAGUUGUUGUCAUUCACCUCUGUGUUGCAUAUAAUGUUUGUCAGCAUUAUAUUCUCUAUUACCCUUAAAAGAAUGAACCCAUGCAUGUAGAAUGCAGAAAUCUCAGGAGCCCUAAACCUUACACAAAGAACUGAGUGACACUAUACAGACUAAGCAGGUUGCAUUUGUAUGUGUUUAAGAACACACAUAUACAUAUAUAACAACAAUUAAAGAAAACGAGGCCAAGAAUUUGAAAGAAAUCAAGGGGGAAGGAGAAUCAAGGAAGCCUUUGGAGGAAGAAAAUGGAAUGAACAAAUAAUUAAAACUUCAAACUGAAAAAUAUAUUUUAAAAAUGUAGCUAUAAAAGUUAAGAUACUAUCCUCCCUGUCAUCCUUGCCUGCUGAACUUUCUCUUAGUCUAUAAAUAUCCUAGCUAAGUAUCUUUUCAUGUCCAAAUGAUACCUGCCACUAUGCUUAGCUUCUUUGUUCUUAACUUCACUCAUUUUUUAGUCUUUAGAUUACUAGUUUCUCAAAAUAAAUUUCAAAAACGGCAAAGCAUAGACAUGUGCUCUAAAGGCUGAGCUAGGAUGAUGGCCAUGAGUGUGAAGCAGGUGGGCCACUAUUAUACAAUGAAUACCAGGGUAGCCUAGUUGUUACACAAUGAGUUCUGGUCUCUCUGUACCUCCAUUAACAUCCAAGGCUACAUUACAGGAUAGCAUGAUUAGGAAGCUUAUUCUUAUUUUAAUGAUGCAUAAAAUAUCCCAUGUUACUCUACAUUUUUCUUCCCAGAUAGUCAUGAAGCAAGAUUUCAGGACUUUCCAUUUUCUAACAUUGAGGUCAUCUGAUUUCCCUCAGGCACCUUGGUAGAAAGGGUUUUACCAUCAAGCUCUUUGCUGAGGAUUCACUUGGAGUGUAAGAAAGGGCAAUUACCUUUUGAACUCUGUUUUUGAGUAAACAGAGCUGAGUGGAACAGUGGGAGCAGAAGAAAUGUUCUCAAGAGCAUAUUAGCAUAAAGCAAUUAGGCAAUGGUAAUGAGAGUUAGUCUCUGCUGUUAUGGCAACAACUGCCAGUGACCACUGAAACAACCUCACUUAGGAGUUUUUCAGGGUGCCUUGCCUUGCUCUUCUUGGGAAUUCUCUGCCCCAGCUGCCCUUAUCCCUUAGGAACAAAGUUCUAAUUCAACAUAGGCAUUUAAAUCAUCAUUUGUUAACAAGUAACUUUGUAUCUCUUUCACUAAAAAUAUAAAAUAUUUAUCAGGGUCAUUCCUGCUUGGUCACAUCAUCAUAUGUUCUUACCCCUUUGCCUCUGAACUAGCUCAAUUACAUGGAGACUUGACUUUUUUUCUGUGGGAUACAUUGUUCUAAAAGCUCACAUUUGCUCUCCUUUCUGCAUCUUCCAACCCAAGGUGUUUCUGCUUAUGUUAUGGUAAGGUCUGUCGAAAAAGAAUAUGGUUGGUUCAUGAACAAGAUGACAAUAAACUCUCGAGUGUGGUCUUACAACUUUGAUGCUUCCAGGGUCAUAUCAUGAGUCUUUUCCCACCCCCCAAACCUACAGCAUGACUAGGUGUUGGCACAGUGCCCAGGAUGCCAGGCGCAAGAAGGUACUAAUGGCAAUAAGUAGGAGUGCCAACUCAAAGGCAAUAUGAGUCUGUUAGAAAUGGGAGCAGGAAAACCAUGCUUCCCAAUUGGUAAUGUCCAUCCAGUGGAUUAUGUUUGAGCAUGAAAGACAAAAAGCACAAUGAGUUUCUGUCUCUGUGGGGUGUGGAACAACCAGUCAGUGUAAGGUUGAAACCAUAAAGGAAGCCUGUUGGUUUAUUUUGACUUUUCUGUCUUUGAAUGCACACAGGCUGAAAGUUGUAGUGCUUUAGUAGAUGAGUGAAGUUGUAUGGAACCAGAACAAGAAAUAGAAAUUU
This 3414-nucleotide long non-coding RNA is filed under the name Mus musculus (house mouse). RNAcentral describes it as "long non-coding RNA chr4:18081552-18084966". The record is from RNAcentral. Lineage: Eukaryota; Metazoa; Chordata; Mammalia; Rodentia; Muridae.